UACGUAGGGGGCGAGCGUUGUCCGGAGUACUGGGCGUAAAGACGCACGCAGGCGGUCUGCUAAGUUUGGAGUGACAGUUGGUGGCUUAACUGCCAAAGUGCUUCGAAAACUGACAGACUUGAGGGCUUCAGAGGGACACGGAAUUCCGGGUGGAGUGGCGAAAUGCGUAGAGAUCCGGAAGAACACCGGUGGCGAAGGCGGCCUGCUGGGCAGUUUUGCUGACACUGAGGCGCGACGAGCGUGGGGAGCAAACAGG
This 256-nucleotide ribosomal RNA is filed under the name uncultured bacterium. RNAcentral's name for it is "partial 16S ribosomal RNA". It matches the Rfam family "Bacterial small subunit ribosomal RNA", at positions 524 to 776 of the family's 1533-position model. The record is from RNAcentral.